Molecule: long non-coding RNA, 204 nt
Organism: Mytilus californianus (California mussel)
Lineage: Eukaryota; Metazoa; Mollusca; Bivalvia; Mytilida; Mytilidae
Exons: 3
Source: RefSeq, a predicted model, not a curated record
UUUUUUUAUUGUAUAAUCCUGAUUUUUGCCAUGAUUUUGUAGGUCUCUCUAAGUGUUUUGUAGACAUUGUAUAAUCCUGAUUUUUGCCAUGAUUUUGUAGGUCUCUCUAAGUGUUUUGUAGACUUUGUAUAAUCCUGAUUUUUGCCAUGAUUUUGUAGGUCUCUCUAAGUGUUUUGUAGACUUUGUAUAAUCCUGAUUUUUGCC